UACGGAGGGUGCAAGCGUUAUCCGGAUUCACUGGGUUUAAAGGGUGCGUAGGCGGGCAGGUAAGUCCGUGGUGAAAUCUCUGAGCUUAACUCAGAAACUGCCGUGGAUACUAUCUGUCUUGAAUACCGUGGAGGUGAGUGGAAUAUGUCAUGUAGCGGUGAAAUGCUUAGAUAUGACAUAGAACACCAAUUGCGAAGGCAGCUCACUACACGCCUAUUGACGCUGAGGCACGAAAGCGUGGGGAUCAAACAGG
Molecule: ribosomal RNA, 253 nt
Filed under: uncultured bacterium
Lineage: Bacteria
Description: partial 16S ribosomal RNA
Rfam family: Bacterial small subunit ribosomal RNA
Source: RNAcentral